AACGAACGCUGGCGGCAGGCUUAACACAUGCAAGUCGAGCGAGACCUUCGGGUCUAGCGGCGGACGGGUGAGUAACGCGUGGGAACGUGCCCUUCUCUACGGAAUAGCCCCGGGAAACUGGGAGUAAUACCGUAUACGCCCUUUGGAGGAAAGAUUUAUCGGAGAAGGAUCGGCCCGCGUUGGAUUAGGUAGUUGGUGGGGUAAUGGCCCACCAAGCCGACGAUCCAUAGCUGGUUUGAGAGGAUGAUCAGCCACACUGGGACUGAGACACGGCCCAGACUCCUACGGGAGGCAGCAGUGGGGAAUCUUAGACAAUGGGGGCAACCCUGAUCUAGCCAUACCGCGUGAGUGAUGAAGGCCUUGGGGUUGUAAAGCUCUUUCAGCUGGGAAGAUAAUGACGGUACCAGCAGAAGAAGCCCCGGCUAACUCCGUG
This 433-nucleotide ribosomal RNA is filed under the name uncultured bacterium. RNAcentral's name for it is "partial 16S ribosomal RNA". It matches the Rfam family "Bacterial small subunit ribosomal RNA", at positions 29 to 507 of the family's 1533-position model. The record is from RNAcentral.